This 1792-nucleotide unclassified non-coding RNA is filed under the name uncultured fungus. Its description in RNAcentral is "sequence contains 18S rRNA gene, ITS1, 5.8S rRNA gene, ITS2, 28S rRNA gene". The stretch from base 663 to 1792 matches the Rfam family "Eukaryotic large subunit ribosomal RNA", at positions 1 to 961 of the family's 3401-position model. Lineage: Eukaryota; Fungi. The record is from RNAcentral.
GGAAGGAUCAUUUCCAAUCCAAAUCUUUAUCAACCCACUAUGUGCACUGUACAAAUUUUCACCUUUCUGGGAAAAACGAAGCCGGAAAACAACCUCAAAAAGGUUGGUUUCUUACUUCCCGAGUACCAGAAAGACAAAUUUUAUAUUACACCCUGUUUAACCCCAUGUAGAUCUUAUUACAAAAAAUUGUUAAAUACUUGACAACUUUUAACGGUGGAUCUCUUGGCUCGUGCAUCGAUGAAGAACGCAGCAAGCUGCGAUAACUAGUGUGAAUUGCAGAAUUCAGUGAAUCAUCGAGUCUUUGAACGCAAAUGGCGCUUCAGGGUAUUCCCUGGAGCAUGUCUGUUUGAGUGUCAUAUAAAUUCCAUCAAACUAGCAAUAGUUUGGCUUUGAGGUUUUGUCACAGCCUGAAAUAAAAAAUAAACUGAAAAGUUUUUUGUUUGUUUGUAAGGCUGCGUCCCUCGAAAUAUAGAAAACAAAUGGGAAUAGCGCCGGCUCUGAUGUUACUUGUUUUCAUCAAACCCCUGGUGUGGCAAAAAACUUCGCCAGCGGGUGGAAACUUGGGUUUCUCAGAGCAUUGGACAACUUCCAAUCGUUUGUACAAAAACAGGAUUUCAAAGACCUAAAGGGACCUAAACCAUCCUUUUUUCUCUUUCAAACCAUGACCUCAAAUCAGGCAAGACUACCCGCUGAACUUAAGCAUAUUAAUAAGCGGAGGAAAAGAAACUAACAAGGAUUCCCUUAGUAACGGCGAGUGAAGCGGGAAAAGCUCAAAUUUGAAAUCUCCGUGGGCAACUACGGCGAAUUGUAGUUUAAAGAAGUGUUUUCUGGGGUCCAGACCGGUCCAAGUUCCUUGGAACAGGACAUCAGAGAGGGUGAGAAUCCCGUCUUUGGCUGGUCAUGGGUUUCAAUACGAUACACUUUCAAAGAGUCAGGUUGUUUGGGAAUGCAGCCUAAAAUGGGUGGUAAAUUUCAUCUAAAGCUAAAUAUGGGCACGAGACCGAUAGCGAACAAGUACCGUGAGGGAAAGAUGAAAAGCACUUUGAAAAGAGAGUUAAAAGCACGUGAAGCCGUUAAAAUGGAAACGAUUGAAGUCAGCAGUGUGCCAGGGGCAAUCAGUCAUACAGUUUGAAGCCUGCUAGUCGUGACAGCGCAAGCGUCUGGUUGGUAGUCUGAAGAGCUGUGUGGUGUACUUGUCUCUGGUACGGGUCAGCAUCGGUUUCCUAGCUGUGGCGAGAGGUUGGUAGAAAGGUAGCUCACCACGGUGAGUGUUACAGUCUGCCAGCUAAAACGCGGCUGAGACCGAGGAGUCGAAGUGUGCCCUUGUGGCUAGGUCCCUAGGCAGUGCCAGUUUGCAUAUCGGUGAGACUGCACGCAGUUGCGCUGGUAGCGUAGGCGGUAAUUGUCUGGUGGAUUCAUAAACACACUACGGAUGUUGACGAAAUGGCUUUAACCGACCCGUCUUGAAACACGGACCAAGGAGUCUAACAUAUACGCGAGUCUUAGGGUGGCAAACCCGAGAGGCGGAAUGAAAGUAAAGGCAGGUUCGGCUUGCUGAGGUGAGAGCUUUCCCGUUAGGGGGAGCGCAUCAUCGACCGAUCUGGAUAUUCUUUGAAAGAUUUGAGUAAGAGCGUAUGUGUUGGGACCCGAAAGAUGGUGAACUAUGCCUGAAUAGGGUGAAGCCAGAGGAAACUCUGGUGGAGGCUCGUAGCGGUUCUGACGUGCAAAUCGAUCGUCAAAUUUGGGUAUAGGGGCGAAAGACUAAUCGAACCAUCUAGUAGCUGGUUCCCAC